Molecule: long non-coding RNA, 435 nt
Filed under: Pan troglodytes (chimpanzee)
Lineage: Eukaryota; Metazoa; Chordata; Mammalia; Primates; Hominidae
Description: lincRNA
Source: RNAcentral
CUUACGCCACCCGCCAUGAUUCUGAGACCUCCCCAGCGAUGUGGAACUUGCCGAAUAAUAUUUCAUUUUCUGGAUAUACCUCACUUUAUCUACUUGCUACAGAAGGGCAUCCUGGUUAAAGUUUUGGCAAUUAGGAAUAAAGCUGCUAUAAGCAUCCAGUCUUACUAGGACCUUCUAUAGCAUAAGACAAAGAAGAAUACAUGUUUAAAAGAAAUGCAACACAUGGGUGCUGCCUGCAAAUCAGAAAGAAGAUAAAACCAAUUCACAAAGGAGCACCAGUGCCUUAGAAGGCUGUUUGCUAGAAAGCUCUUCAAUAACUAGACUUUUCUAUAUUGAACCUGUAGACAAUGAGAUAAGACAGCAGAAUUUUGAUGUGCCAAGGAGGUACAACAAUCUCACUGUAGGCUGUUAUGAUAAUGUGUACUUACCUCUUCU